UUGAGGUUCAUAUGAUGCUCAAGAUCCCUCCUGGAAGGUCAAUGACCGUGAGAGCGCAGCUGGGUUCCCCUGCAAGAAUGGCAAGCCAUUGAUGACUGAGUGAGUUGCCGUCCUUGCCUCUUCUUUCUGCUCAAAAACCCUUGCAAGCUUGCACCCUUUGCCAUCUUUGCCUGCCUUGUCGCCAUUGAUCCCGAUUAGCGACAAGAUAGAACUCCUAGCCACCUCAUCCACGUCAUCGAUUCGGAUCGUCUUUGGCACCCACACCUUGCCAUUUCCUUUGGUAUCUCCUUCCUCGUUGCAGUCUCUAGGGCGCUUUCCUGGUGUGAAGCAAUUGGACUUCGUGGAUGCUGGUGAAGCAGUGCUAAGGGUCGAACCUGUCUCGGACGGGGACUGAGGCGGCCAUGGGGCAUUCCAAGCUCCUGGAACCAUGCAGCCCCAGUAGGCAGCAGGUGCUGGGUAGAACGGAAUUGCUAUGCUGCCUGGGGUGUAACAGGCAGGUGGUGGUGCACAGCUAAAUGGCCACAUGGCCACCCCGUUCAUGCAUGGAUGCUGAACAAGUUUUGCAGAUUUCUCUGCUGUAACAUUCUCCUUUUGGUUUGAGUCUUCUGCCUUCGCAGGUCCUUCAGUGCAAGAGCCAACUGAACGUUCAUCGCCGUUCUUGAUCCCCGCUAUUGGGAUGAGCUUCUCCUUCAGGUGCUUCAUCUGCUCUGUGAGGUCUAAGCUGGACAUGUCUGAGCCGAAGCUGAGCACCGUGCCAUUCGUCUUGGCUGCAG
Molecule: long non-coding RNA, 773 nt
Filed under: Sorghum bicolor (sorghum)
Lineage: Eukaryota; Viridiplantae; Streptophyta; Magnoliopsida; Poales; Poaceae
Description: long non-coding RNA (SBIC_LNC001754)
Source: RNAcentral